Molecule: small RNA, 747 nt
Filed under: Pan troglodytes (chimpanzee)
Lineage: Eukaryota; Metazoa; Chordata; Mammalia; Primates; Hominidae
Description: retained intron
Source: RNAcentral
CGUCGCUGAGGGGCUUGCCUGAAGCGAGGGGAUUCUAACAUUUUCAGAGAACCUUUUGGAAAGAACAAGUCUACUUCAAUAAAUGAAGGAGAAUAAAGAAAAUUCAAGCCCUUCAGUAACUUCAGCAAACCUGGACCACACAAAGCCAUGUUGGUACUGGGAUAAGAAAGACUUGGCUCAUACACCCUCACAACUUGAAGGACUUGAUCCAGCCACCGAGGCCCGGUACCGCCGAGAGGGCGCUCGGUUCAUCUUUGAUGUGGGCACACGUUUGGGGCUACACUAUGAUACCCUGGCAACUGGAAUAAUUUAUUUUCAUCGCUUCUAUAUGUUUCAUUCCUUCAAGCAAUUCCCAAGAUAUGUGACAGGAGCCUGUUGCCUCUUUCUGGCUGGGAAAGUAGAAGAAACACCAAAAAAAUGUAAAGAUAUCAUCAAAACAGCUCGUAGUUUAUUAAAUGAUGUACAAUUUGGCCAGUUUGGAGAUGACCCAAAGGAGGAAGUAAUGGUUCUGGAGAGAAUCUUACUGCAGACCAUCAAGUUUGAUUUACAGGUAGAACAUCCAUACCAGUUCCUACUAAAAUAUGCAAAGCAACUCAAAGGUAAGAAGAAAGUUUUCAGAAGAAUUUUUUCAUUCUGAAAUCAAGUCUUUAUAAUUUGAUGACACUCAAAUUAUGCUUCUCAAAAGAGGAAAACAAAGUUUGAUGUGUAAAAUACCAAGGACAUGGCUUGUUCAGUCAAUUCAGUAUU